RNAcentral lists this ribosomal RNA (478 nucleotides) under uncultured bacterium. Its description in RNAcentral is "partial 16S ribosomal RNA". It matches the Rfam family "Bacterial small subunit ribosomal RNA", at positions 28 to 523 of the family's 1533-position model. The record is from RNAcentral.
GAUGAACGCUGGCGGCGUGCUUAACACAUGCAAGUCGAACGGUAAGGCCCUUCGGGGUACACGAGUGGCGAACGGGUGAGUAACACGUGGGUGAUCUGCCCUGCACUUCGGGAUAAGCCUGGGAAACUGGGUCUAAUACCGGAUAGGACUCCGGACUGCAUGGUCUGGGGUGGAAAGCUUUUGCGGUGUGGGAUGGGCCCGCGGCCUAUCAGCUUGUUGGUGGGGUGAUGGCCUACCAAGGCGACGACGGGUAGCCGGCCUGAGAGGGUGACCGGCCACACUGGGACUGAGACACGGCCCAGACUCCUACGGGAGGCAGCAGUGGGGAAUAUUGCACAAUGGGCGCAAGCCUGAUGCAGCAACGCCGCGUGAGGGAUGACGGCCUUCGUGUUGUAAACCUCUUUUAGUAGGGAAGAAGCGAAAGUGACGGUACCUGCAGAAAAAGCACCGGCUAACUACGUGCCAGCCGCCGCAGUAA